RNAcentral lists this ribosomal RNA (497 nucleotides) under uncultured bacterium. RNAcentral's name for it is "partial 16S ribosomal RNA". It matches the Rfam family "Bacterial small subunit ribosomal RNA", at positions 28 to 507 of the family's 1533-position model. The record is from RNAcentral.
GAUGAACGCUGGCGGCGUGCCUAAUACAUGCAAGUCGAGCGAACAGACGAGGAGCUUGCUCCUCUGACGUUAGCGGCGGACGGGUGAGUAACACGUGGAUAACCUUCCUAUAAUACUUGGAUAACUUCGUGAAACCGGAGCUAAUACCGGAUAAUAUAUUGAACCGCUUGGUUCAAUAGUUAAAGACGGUUUUGCUGUCACUUAUAGCUGGAUCCAGGCGGCGUUAGCUAGUUGGUAAGGUAACGCCCUACCAAGGCGACGAUGCGUAGCCGGUCUGAGAGGAUGAGGAGCAAAAAUGGAACUGAGCCACGGUCCAGACUACUACGGGAGGCAGCAGUGGGGAAUAUGGGACAAUGGGCGCAAGAGUGAUACAGCCAUAACGCGUGGGUGAAGAAGGCCUUAGGGUUGUAAAGCCCUUUUGUUGGGAAAGAAAAGCAGCAGGUGAAUACCCCGCGGUUCUGACGGUACCCAAAGAAUAAGCACCGGCUAACUUCGUG